CCCUAGCUGGUCUGAGAGGAUGAUCAGCCACACUGGAACUGAGACACGGUCCAGACUCCUACGGGAGGCAGCAGUGGGGAAUAUUGCACAAUGGGCGCAAGCCUGAUGCAGCCAUGCCGCGUGUAUGAAGAAGGCCUUCGGGUUGUAAAGUACUUUCAGUCGUGAGGAAGGCGGCGUCGUUAAUAGCGGCAUCGUUUGACGUUAGCGACAGAAGAAGCACCGGCUAACUCCGUGCCAGCAGCCGCGGUAAUACGGAGGGUGCGAGCGUUAAUCGGAAUUACUGGGCGUAAAGCGCAUGCAGGUGGUUUGUUAAGUCAGAUGUGAAAGCCCGGGGCUCAACCUCGGAAUAGCAUUUGAAACUGGCAGACUAGAGUACUGUAGAGGGGGGUAGAAUUUCAGGUGUAGCGGUGAAAUGCGUAGAGAUCUGAAGGAAUACCGGUGGCGAAGGCGGCCCCCUGGACAGAUACUGACACUCAGAUG
RNAcentral lists this ribosomal RNA (480 nucleotides) under Vibrio alginolyticus. Its description in RNAcentral is "bacterial SSU rRNA". It matches the Rfam family "Bacterial small subunit ribosomal RNA", at positions 281 to 753 of the family's 1533-position model. The record is from RNAcentral. Lineage: Bacteria; Pseudomonadati; Pseudomonadota; Gammaproteobacteria; Vibrionales; Vibrionaceae.